GACGAACGCUGGCGGCGUGCUUAACACAUGCAAGUCGAGCGGUAAGGCCCUUCGGGGUACACGAGCGGCGAACGGGUGAGUAACACGUGAGUAAUCUGCCCAUCACUUCGGGAUAACUCCGGGAAACCGGUGCUAAUACCGAAUAUGACCACUUCAGGCAUCUGAUGGUGGUGGAAAGUUCCGGCGGUGAUGGAUGAGCUCGCGGCCUAUCAGCUUGUUGGUGGGGUAGUGGCCUACCAAGGCUUCGACGGGUAGCCGGCCUGAGAGGGUGACCGGCCACACUGGGACUGAGACACGGCCCAGACUCCUACGGGAGGCAGCAGUGGGGAAUAUUGGACAAUGGGCGAAAGCCUGAUCCAGCAACGCCGCGUGAGGGAUGACGGCCUUCGGGUUGUAAACCUCUUUCAGCAGGGACGAAGCGCAAGUGACGGUACCUGCAGAAGAAGCACCGGCCAACUACGU
Molecule: ribosomal RNA, 462 nt
Filed under: uncultured bacterium
Lineage: Bacteria
Description: partial 16S ribosomal RNA
Rfam family: Bacterial small subunit ribosomal RNA
Source: RNAcentral